CAGCAGCCGCGGUAAUACAGAGGGUGCGAGCGUUAAUCGGAUUUACUGGGCGUAAAGCGUGCGUAGGCGGCUUCUUAAGUCGGAUGUGAAAUCCCUGAGCUUAACUUAGGAAUUGCAUUCGAUACUGGGAAGCUAGAGUAUGGGAGAGGAUGGUAGAAUUCCAGGUGUAGCGGUGAAAUGCGUAGAGAUCUGGAGGAAUACCGAUGGCGAAGGCAGCCAUCUGGCCUAAUACUGACGCUGAGGUACGAAAGCAUGGGGAGCAAACAGGAUUAGAGACCCGUGUAGUCCCUGUCUCUUAUACACA
This 304-nucleotide ribosomal RNA is filed under the name uncultured bacterium. RNAcentral's name for it is "partial 16S ribosomal RNA". It matches the Rfam family "Bacterial small subunit ribosomal RNA", at positions 509 to 810 of the family's 1533-position model. The record is from RNAcentral.